GACGAACGCUGGCGGCGUGCCUAAUACAUGCAAGUCGAACGCUUUUUCUUUCACCGGAGCUUGCUCCACCGAAAGAAAAAGAGUGGCGAACGGGUGAGUAACACGUGGGUAACCUGCCCAUCAGAAGGGGAUAACACUUGGAAACAGGUGCUAAUACCGUAUAACACUAUUUUCAGCAUGGAAGAAAGUUGAAAGGCGCUUUUGCGUCACUGAUGGAUGGACCCGCGGUGCAUUAGCUAGUUGGUGAGGUGACGGCACACCAAGGCAACGAUGGAUGACCGACCUGAGAGAGUGAUCGGCCACACUGGGACUGAGACACGGCCCAGACUCCUACGGGAGGCAGAAGUAGGGAAUCUUCGGCAAUGGAAGAAAGUUUGACCGAGCAACGCCGCGUGAAUGAAGGAGGUUCUCGGAUCGUAAAACUCUGUUGUUAGAGAAGAACAAGGAUGAGAGUAGAACGUUCAUCCCUUGACGGUAUCUAAUCAGAAAGCCACGGCUAACUACGUGCCAGCCGCCGCCGUAA
RNAcentral lists this ribosomal RNA (523 nucleotides) under uncultured bacterium. Its description in RNAcentral is "partial 16S ribosomal RNA". It matches the Rfam family "Bacterial small subunit ribosomal RNA", at positions 28 to 523 of the family's 1533-position model. The record is from RNAcentral.